Gallus gallus (chicken) is the source of this 9046-nucleotide long non-coding RNA. NCBI's taxonomy places the organism in Eukaryota, Metazoa, Chordata, Aves, Galliformes, Phasianidae. The record is from Ensembl.
GCUAAUUUUAUUUCAUUUUUUCACUAUUUGCACCCUUCUUUCUUUGCAUCGUAAAUACAAAAUAUUGACAACUAUUUAUGUAAAAUACUGCUCUUUUUGAGUCAGGAAAUCUGCUCCCUAUGAGGAAAGCCAUAAAGUUGCUGUCAGUGCUGUCGCUCCAGUUGCGACUGUCCAGCGGUUGUAAGACACUGCAUCUGGCUCUACUUAUCUUUUUAGUAGAUUACACUAAAGUGAAUCCUUAAGGCUAAACCCUCUAAUUUACUGAAACACAUGCACAUAAAAUUACAGCUGUCUCGCAAAAGCUUUCAUUGAUUUGAACAGAGCUGGGAUUCAUUUAAGUGGUUAUAAAACUUAGAUAAGCAAACUUCUUUCAAAACCAGCAGGAAAAAAAAAAACGCAACAGCAAAAUACCAAAACCCAAACACCCCCAACCUGCCAAACAGAGCUAAUUACUGGUUUAUUGAUUGGCACCUUAUUCUUCACCUCUGUGUCCGCUGACACCAUUUCUCCUGCGUUCCUUGGCUCCAUGUGCACGUUGGUCCCACACAGAGGGAAGAAUUUGGCAGGAAAAUAGGGCGUUUGUUGAGGUAAAAACACAGUUUUGCUCUCAAAAGCAAAUACGUGUAUUGUGUAAUGUUCAUCUCUCUGAAAGUCAACUGCCUAAAAUUUGGACAUCUGAAGGCAAGGCAGUCCCAGAUUGUCUGCUAAGGACAAAGAGAACCUAUAGAAAAAGAAAGAUGAUUAUUUUCAGGCAUCUUAAAUCAUCUAAAGCUGUAGGACGUACCGUACCCUUCUGUGCACCUCUGGGGACCAAUGUAAAACACUGCGGAGAUGGGGAGUGAGUUUCCUGUAGAGACUCAGACAGAUGUGCCCAGCUGUCCUCCCAGGGCUGUUUCAUAGUGCCGGCCUCACCCUGUUGCGUUGCCCAGCUCAGGGCAUUCAUUGCACCUCUGAAGUUGGUUACAUGACAGUAAUUUCAUUACUGUAAGACAGCUUGGGGUGUUUCAAAACAGCCCUUAGGGCUUUGCUCUGAACUUUGUUGUCUGCAUCAGAAGUGUUUGAGAAAGCCACUGAAAUCGCAGAGAGAAAAUGCAUCUAUUGGUUUUCUACAGAGAUGGUAACGUGUUGGCAGAAGGUGGUGCUGUUACCUGAUGUUGCCGCAGAUAACUGCCAUGUCAUGGAACAAAACCCAUGACUUGAAAAAAGGUAUUUUCUUCCCACAGCCAUAGGUGUGCUACAUAAAUAGAUACAGAUGAGGUUUCCCAGUCCCUGAGAUAUAAUGAAGUGUUCUUCGUUAGAAGUCAGGCACCCGGGCCAACAUUUCUUCCAACAGAAAGCAGGAUAUUGGGUGAAUAGUGCUCACAGAGAAAUAAUUGCCACUGCAUGAUGGCUUUCCAAUGGGGUGGCCGAUUUCACCCAGAAGCACAGGGUCCCAUGGGCUGGGUGUCAUAACAGCAGAAAGCAAAAGAUGUGUGAUAUAAGGGAUGGCUGGAAGUUCCAGAAUGCCUUUUGAGAGCCGUAUGCCUUCACACCCAGAGGUCAGGAGAGAACCCAGAGGGAGGUUUGGUUUGGAAAAAGCUCUUCUGAUUUCUAUCUUCUGCGAGCUUAACGCGGUCAGGUGGCACGUUGUGCUGGGUUGGGUGUAUGGAGCAAUUCACAUGUGUGGCACACAUCACUUCGGGGCUCUUCAGAAACAUCUCACAUCCUAUUGACAAGGGGACAAUCUGUAGCUAAUGAUACACUGAUAACGAGGCUCAUUCUGAGCCUGUAGAAUACAUACAGAUUGUAUUUGCAGGCUUUGUGUUAUCAUCAUAAAAGCCAGAAACUUCUCUUGUGUUUAAUGAAAGAUGAAUGAUUUUUGCCUAUUUCUGUGCCUGUAGAAAGCCCAGUGGAGGUUGUGGUUAUGAUUUAUGGCAUUGGAGCAGAACGUGUGUGCAAAUAGAAAUCAUUGUGUUGUUUCCUAUAAUUCAGUGUUGAUUCCUAUAACUCAUGUUAACUAAGGGAUUAGAAGUUGUGUCAAUUCAAAGCUUUAUCUAUUUCUGGGUUAGAACUUGGGCUGCUGGCAACCCUGUGCUGUUACCGUACUUGGACCCCACUGAAAGUUCCUGAUUCAGAAAAUGUUUGAACUGGUGAAAGCUCCUGAAUUGUCUGACUGGUGUGUAUCAGCUGAGGUAUCAACCUGUGUUCCAGAGUGCUGUGAUGAGUUUUUAUAUUCAAGAGGUCUGGAGUAUCCAGAUAUACAUCAGUGAGGGGGGGGGGGGGGGGGGGGGGGAAUAGUCCAGGGCAUGCAAUAGAUGCAUCAGGAUUUGUGCUCUCUGCUGAAUUGCCUCAGCAUGGAGAGCAGCAGUGCAUCUGGAAGGGCUGGAAAUAUGUGUGUGUAUGGUACAGAGGGGGCUGUGAUACUGCGGCGUUCACAGCUGGGCAGCAUGGGCUCUGAAUUUCAGAGAUUAAUUUGCACAGUUGCAUUUUGGGCCAUAUUUUCAAACUUGAGAAAGCUCAGCUUGGAUUCUGUUGUUAGAACAGCUUUGUGGAGGGACACAUAGCCCACGAGUACCUGAAUUUAGGUCUGGGGGGUGCCCAGCAAUCAGGAUCAGGCAUUUAGAGACCAGGCACCACGCCAUCCCAUCAGAGGAAAGAGACAGAACUGGUCAGAUGGCGUUUAAGAUACAAUUCAGUCUGAGAGCUAAAGGCUCUUGCAGGAUUUUCAGACCUUGAACAUAAGGCUUCUUUUUUUUUUCCAAUUGGAUUUCACGGUUGAAACGUGGUGUAAGAAUUGCGAGGCUAGGGAGCAAAUAGCUUUUUAUGGAGAUUUGAAUUACAUUUUACACUUGAAAAAUCAGUCUAAGCAGUGAGUGGAAGGGCCUGGCGCCCUGUCUGCGCCCCAGUCCUGCUGCUGGCAGCCUGCACAUGGAGCGCUGGGUGGGGAAGGGAAAGGGAGCGCCGUGGGGGGAUGGCUGCUUCUGCCUCUGAAGCCCUCCAUAGCAGCCACUGGCAGUUUGAGGGGACUGAGUGAUGGAUGGAGUGGUUGGCAGGCCGUGCCCAUGGCAGGGGUUGGAACUGGGUGCUCUUUGGGAUGCCCUCCACCAACCCAGGCUGUUCUGUGAGGUUAGCUUUCAUUUGCCCUCCAACAAGUGAUAGAGGGAGGAGGGGUGGUUGUUGCUUUCUGGAUGGCUGCCAUCAAUGCGGUAAGGUGUCAUUUGCUUGAGCUGAAGUCUCCUCUGCUGACAAAUACCACUGCCACUCCAGUAGAAUAUUUAAGGCCAUUGAUCCUUAGUAUUCAUCUGAUCAUGGUGACAUGGACCGUGUCCUCCUGUCUGUGAAAAUCCAGCAAUUCUCUGCAGGACUGCAGGUAGUCCUCAAAGCAUCUGCAGAGCUUCCCAUGGCGUGUGCUGAGAGGUGUAUCUUUGUUUGAUUCUGUGAUUAACAUCGACUGCACAGGUGAGCAAAAUCAGCUGCCAGACAGUUUGUGAAGAGUUCACAAGGUGAACUUCUGGUUAUCCUCUGAGUGUUGGUGGGGAACAGAAAGUGAGUCCGGUGGUGGUGUGAUCUGAGCCUGUAACCGCUGCUACUCGGGUGGGUUCAGCUGGUGCCAUGGGAAGCGGUUAUUUGUCAGCCACAGUCAUCUUUUGUUCACCAUUUUUUUUUUUUUGGUGUGAAUUGCUGAAAAGCAAACUUUUCCCACAACUAAUUGUAUUUGCUAAUUACCUGUGAAAAAGCAAUUAUCUCCCGGUGAUGCAAUUCUUUGGGAAGGCUUUUUUUUUUUAAUUGGUAAAGAGGAGUCCCUUCUAUACAGGUUGUUUUCAGAAAAAAAGCUUUUCAGAUAUUGUAGCUGAUGUAUCACGUUGGACACAUCGGAUUGGGUCGCAUCAGCAGUGUUGCGUUACGUUACAUCACCGAGGUAAUGUGCUGUGACAGAUCUGCAAUGCAAUGUGUCAGCUGCAAAAUAGGGAAAGAUGUGAUUUCCCGAACAAAAUGCUCCUUAAGCUUUAUGGCAUUUUCCCCUCCUCCAAGUAAAGGAAUGGCUGUUUAGGUGUUGGGGUAUUUCUUAAAAGACUCAAUUAUGUUCAGAAGAAUUUGAAGCCGUUUUGUUGUUGCUAUUUCCUCUCUCAGUGGAUAAUUAUCUAAUCUGGAAAGAAAGAUAUCUUUGCUUCUUAUAUUUCCAUGACCACUUUACAAUUUAUCUGUGUCCCCAAACAUUCAGAAAACUGGAAGGCAGUUUCUAGGGGGAGGAAUUGAGCUGACACGGUGAGGCAUACAGGAGGAGACCUGGCUGCCGUCCUGCUGGGAUGCCAGAGCAGGGGAGGGGGAAUGGAUGCACUUCAGCUGUAGCUUUGGAACUAGAGAGGACAGAGCAGCAGAAACAAAGGAGGUACACUUAAAACUGUUCGGCUCUUUAGGAAGGUGGGAGCAAUGGAAUCCAUGUGAAAACAAAAAUCCAAAUAUUUUGGGCACGACUUCGCCCUCUACAUUGUCAGAUACAAAGGGUAGUGUUGCUUUCUUUACUUUCUGUUUUAUUUAAAUCAUCCUUGGUGAUGAGCUACUCAGAGUUGUUCGAUAUUAACGUCCCCUCAGUCAUGCAUUGCGCUGCAGUCAAACCGAACCAUUAUACGGACAGUUUGUGAACAGGGAAGUGCUGUGCGCUGAUGGUGAAGAUACCGUCACCGAGCUGAGGAGGUUAACAGCCCCAAAUCGCUUUGAUAUUUGUACAUACUCAGAAGGGAUUGAGAUGUUUGCUCUCAUUUUAGUGAGCUCUUGUGAUUCAGUACAUUUGGCACUUCAGGGUUCAGAAUAGCCACUUGUUUCCUACAAAGCAAUGCCCUCAACUGCGUUACUAUUUGGUUGCUCGUUAUGGUCCCAUUUAGAUCUUUCUAUUGCUGUGCAAAUAUGCCUUCGUUUCACAGUAACUUGCCUAAUGCUGCUUUGUUUGGCAUUCUUUGUUGCAAGGAUCAGGGUUCUGGUGCACUCAGAAAGAAACCAGCUAAGUAAAUCUGUAAUAGCAUCGCUGUUUAAACAGCGCCUUGGAUCACUGCAAGUAAAAUUAGAAACGUUGGUUAUGUACCUAUGGAUGCCUUUCAUUUUCAGUUCAAUAGUUUUCUUACAAAGGGCAGCAGUUGCGUGGGAAACAUUUACUUACCGUUUUUUGCUUGCUUUGAUUUAGCACUUAAGGACAAUACCGAGAUUUUACAGCCUGUCCUGAGUGAGGUGAAGUGCAUAAUUGCUGUGCCCUGGGAACAGCCUGGGAAAUGAAUGAUGGGUGGGCAAUUGCUAAUUUUUCCCUGCCAACCUCCACUUCUGCUCGCUCUAAGCAGGUGUUAAGAACGCUAAGAACAAAGGUAUUAAAAAGGUAUUGAGGCGCCUCAAAUUCAAACAUUCUUACAUUUCUUUCAGCAAUAAGCAAAAUAGGCCUCCCAUGUUCCUUGAAAAUGAGAGCUGUAUGUCAGUUCACCUUCAGACCUCUGCAAAAAGUGUUAUGUGCCCUAUUGUACUCACCAGUUACUCCAGCCAUGCUGUUAACCCAGACCCCAUUUCUUCAGUCCACCCCAGGCUCCAGACCCUCCGUGUCUUGGCAGUACGGGGCCAUUCCCACCCCGCACUGAUGUCUGGUUGGAGGAUACCUUGUCACAGCCAGGCUCCACAGAUGCCUUUGUAGUCUGAUGUGAAAUGCAUCCCAUGCUCUCUACCAGCUGCAUGGGAAGCCCCCCGAGACGAGGCCAGAAGUGGAUGUUUCCAGUCUGGCAGCCAGCAUGCACAUGUAAACCAUGCUUUAAAUGAAGGGGCAGUCUUGGUGCUUCUGCCACUUGUUUCCAUCAAAACACUGAUGGAAACAAAUAUUAUUAUGUACAUUGUGCUGUUCUUUUAUUGAUCUGAGCAAUCUUUAAGCCAACUAUUAACCUUGCUCUCUAUAUACAGGCUGGUAUUAGCUGUCACUAACCCUUAUUCUGCAUUCUGAACCCCUACUCUAAGCCUUUUCUUUAAACCUGUUAUUAAGUCUGCCUUUCAUGUCUAAACCUGGUGCAGUAGUGCAAUUAAUUGCUUUACUUAACAUGCAAGGUUAUAAGUGAUCUCUGUGAUUCCACUGACGUUAAAGAAAUAAAUGGAGCUAAACUGAUUCUCAUUGCAAGGUGAUCUUUACACAGUCUUUGGUUGGUGGAACCAGCAGUAGAUGUGUAUUGCAGAAUUAAUGUUAAGAGUUGCAACUGCCAUUGCUACACAACGGCAGGAUACAGAAGGAUCUGCACAAGUCUUGUGCUUCGUUUUAUACUUUGAAAGAACUCCCUCAGUCCCACAGCCAGCAGCUCCUUUUGCGCUCUUCUUUUCCUUCUGGUUAUAAACACAGUGUCUGCUUUUCCUGUUGUGUACUGGAACGUAGAAAAGUUUCCAGCGACUGCUCACAAUGAGCAAGAGGUACUUUUCCUACUGCAGUGGGAAGAGUACCACAGUUGUUUAGUUCUGGGGUCUCAGCCUUUUCUGCUGAUGAAUUCAUAGAGGAACAUGUGUUCGGAUGUUUUGUUGGCUCAAAUCAGGCUUGUCUCACGCUGAGACUGAGAGAAGUCAUGCGAUGGCUUGGGAGUAGAAGUAGGGAACAUGGUGAUACUUGUUGGUAAGUGCCUGAUGCAGUAGCAUCCCUGCCCAGAAAGGCAUUGCUCUGUGAAAGCAAAGCAGGUAAAGAAGGAAGGCAGGUAGUUCUGUUCUUUGCUCAGCGAGUGGUAAAAUUGCACACGAUUUUUAGAAAAGACCCGCAGUGACCCAGGAAAGCAGCUGACUAACAAACAAGUGAGGUUUCUGCAGGAGCUUUAGGGGUGAAGGUAAGGUUCGCUUCUGGCUAGAUAUAUAGAUGUGAUCAAUAGGUAUGCCAGAACAGAGCAGAGAGGUUCAAAAAGCUUGGGGAUGAGGCUGAAUUCCAGGGUUUGGGGGCACAUGCCACAUCCAAGUGAAGCUUGUAAUAGCAAUGCCAAGAGCAGGAUGGAAACGCACUCCAUCUACUACUUCAGGAAGAUGGUGUUCUUUUGCAGUUCUGCAAUAGGCACACAGGAAAGCAGCAGAAGACUCCAGCAGACAGAAUAGCUGCUGAUGAAGCUGCAAGAAACCACCUUUAGAGAAGCGAGACUGAGAUGAGCAAAGAAACGUCCCUAGGUGGGGAAAAGAGGAUGAAGAGAUUAGAGAAAAUGGAAAGUGUCCACCAGGGUUGGAAAUACUAACGUGAAGAACAGAGCACAGCAGUGCUCUCUCCUCGGAGAGGUCGCUGUAGAUUUGCAUUGCUAAUUUGCUUGCUUGAAAGUUCUCCCUGGCGUCUAGGGAGGAGAGGCAGAUGUAUUCUCGCAGGGCAAGGCAAUAAGCGUUUGUGUAAUUUUACCUCUGCGUCCUGAGCUGCGGAGGUACUGGGGGUGAAACCGUAGGGCUCCUAAACAGAAAACACCCAACUUAACUGCAAAGAGAGCUCGUUUCCAACCAUUGUAGCUUCGUUAAGUGGCACAUCAGUAGGAGGGCAAAAUAACAGUUGCUUUAGGCCCAGAGAAGCUUUUGCGUUGCUGCUACCCCAAUUAUUCCUUUUUUACACGUGCUCAGCAAUCUCUUGCUACUGUAAUUACAGCGCCAAACACUGCAGCUAUUAGAUACAGUCACUAGACUUUUAACAAGCCAUCAUUACUUGCACUCAGAAUCUUACAGUUUAAAAACAAUGUCUUUGAGAACAGUGUAACCUAUUUCUCCUUUACAAUAACUGCACAGACUUGUGCAUGGACGUGCUGCUGGUUGCAGCCAUGAGCUUUGCUAAGGAGCAGCAAAGAAGCCAGGCAUAGAGCUGUAGAAUUAUGAUCCUGACUCAUAUAUUCUGGUGAAGUUGUUAAUAACAUCUCAACAUUGAGAAGAUAAUUGCCAAAUAAGAGAGCAGUAAAUAUCUGCAGCCCUUGCGGUCUUAUGUUGAUGUCAGAACAGUGAUGUAUCGUCUGUUUGGAAACCCAGAGAAGUGAGGGAGGCAGGUGGACAGGAUCUGACUUUUCCCAGCCCCCCUCUGGCCAUUUCUUUCCUGUGCUCUUUGCUCUCGAAGUACCGCUGAAUACUAAAAAGAGGCGGUGUUGUGCACAGCCGGGAGAGGAGGAGUGCGGAGGGCAGGGUGACCUGCUGAGCCCAUGGCUUUCUGUGCUAGCCACAGGUGGUCAGGCAGAGCAGGCAUUUAAAAACUCAUCCAUCUCUUGUCUUACUGUCUUGGAAUUUACAUAAUUAAAAGUGAAUUGCUUGCUGUAUUUUAAUAUAUGCAGUGAAAAUGCAUGAAAAGCUGAAGAAUUACAGCAAUCCAGUAAUUCAUGUCAUGUUCCAUUCAGAAUUACAGCUUUCCAGCGCCAGCUCAAACACCGAGGAAUCCCUGCCACCAUAAAGCUAUAAUUGCUGAAUUAAUAACAGCGGGUUCUGGAGAGUGACUGCACAGACUCUCUGACCCAGGCACCACAAUGUGCAGCAGUGGAGGCUUCAGCUGCCUUCAGUGAAGCUCCUGAGUUUUCACCUCCCAGCUUGUCGGUGCUGGCUCAGUGCUUGCAGUGAAUCCUUUCCUCCUAUCUGUCAGCGAUGCACACUAGUAGGGUGGAUUCCAAUUGCACGCAAAUAAAUAGCAUGCAGCAUCUGAACUGCUGCUGGGAGGCUCUGUGGUGGCCCUCAACAGCCUUCAGCUGUGGCAAUGCUGUGACCCGUCACUGUCAGUAGAUGAUAUCAAAUACAAACCUACCUGCGGCUUAGCUCUGCUCCUCUCCCAUCUACAGGUAAUGGGCCCUUCCAUUUUGUGCGCACUGACUGAGUGAAGGCUGGGCCAUUGCCCCUUUGCUUUGAAGUCCACUGCAUUUGUGAUUUUUCUUUGAUCAUCGCUGUGGAAAAGCCUGAAAUGUUUUUCUCAGCAGUUUGUAUGCACACAAGCAUGAGAGCUGAGAACCUCAGUCAAGGUGAAACUUCUGAACUUAUCUUGAUUUUGUUAACAUUAAAUUAAUAUUAAGUAGGACCAAGUUAUGUUUUGCCUUGAGACUGAGGAGGCAACAAUACUGUUCUACUACUAUCCAUG